GCUCAGAUUGAACGCUGGCGGCAGGCNUAACACAUGCAAGUCGAACGGUAGCACAGAGAGCUUGCUCUCGGGUGACGAGUGGCGGACGGGUGAGUAAUGUCUGGGAAACUGCNUGAUGGAGGGGGAUAACUACUGGAAACGGUAGCUAAUACCGCAUAACGUCUUCGGACCAAAGUGGGGGACCUUCGGGCCUCACACCAUCGGAUGUGCCCAGAUGGGAUUAGCUAGUAGGUGGGGUAAUGGCUCACCUAGGCGACGAUCCCUAGCUGGUCUGAGAGGAUGACCAGCCACACUGGAACUGAGACACGGUCCAGACUCCUACGGGAGGCAGCAGUGGGGAAUAUUGCACAAUGGGCGCAAGCCUGAUGCAGCCAUGCCGCGUGUAUGAAGAAGGCCUUCGGGUUGUAAAGUACUUUCAGCGGGGAGGAAGGCGAUAAGGUUAAUAACCUUGUCGAUUGACGUUACCCGCAGAAGAAGCACCGGCUAACUCCGUGCCAGCAGCCGCGGUAAUACGGAGGGUGCAAGCGUUAAUCGGAAUUACUGGGCGUAAAGCGCACGCAGGCGGUCUGUCAAGUCAGAUGUGAAAUCCCCGGGCUUAACCUGGGAACUGCAUUUGAAACUGGCAGGCUAGAGUCUUGUAGAGGGGGGUAGAAUUCCAGGUGUAGCGGUGAAAUGCGUAGAGAUCUGGAGGAAUACCGGUGGCGAAGGCGGCCCCCUGGACAAAGACUGACGCUCAGGUGCGAAAGCGUGGGGNNNAAACANGAUUAGAUACCCUGGUAGUCCACGCCGUAA
Molecule: ribosomal RNA, 792 nt
Filed under: gamma proteobacterium 5.1.20_I
Lineage: Bacteria; Pseudomonadati; Pseudomonadota; Gammaproteobacteria
Description: bacterial SSU rRNA
Rfam family: Bacterial small subunit ribosomal RNA
Source: RNAcentral